CGAGUGGCGGACGGGUGAGUAAUGUCUGGGAAACUGCCUGAUGGAGGGGGAUAACUACUGGAAACGGUAGCUAAUACCGCAUAACGUCGCAAGACCAAAGAGGGGGACCUUCGGGCCCCUUGCCAUCGGAUGUGCCCAGAUGGGAUUAGCUAGUAGGUGGGGUAACGGCUCACCUAGGCGACGAUCCCUAGCUGGUCUGAGAGGAUGACCAGCCACACUGGAACUGAGACACGGUCCAGACUCCUACGGGAGGCAGCAUG
RNAcentral lists this ribosomal RNA (260 nucleotides) under uncultured bacterium. Its description in RNAcentral is "partial 16S ribosomal RNA". It matches the Rfam family "Bacterial small subunit ribosomal RNA", at positions 92 to 353 of the family's 1533-position model. The record is from RNAcentral.